AGUGAACGCUGGCGGUAGGCCUAACACAUGCAAGUCGAACGGCAGCACAGUAAGAGCUUGCUCUUACGGGUGGCGAGUGGCGGACGGGUGAGGAAUACAUCGGAAUCUACUUUUUCGUGGGGGAUAACGUAGGGAAAUUUACGCUAAUACCGCAUACGACCUACGGGUGAAAGCAGGGGAUCUUCGGACCUUGCGCGAUUGAAUGAGCCGCUGUCGGAUUAUCUAGUUGGCGGGGUAAAGGCCCACCAAGGCGACGAUCCGUAGCUGGUCUGAGAGGAUGAUCAGCCACACUGGAACUGAGACACGGUCCAGACUCCUACGGGAGGCAGCAGUGGGGAAUAUUGGACAAUGGGCGCAAGCCUGAUCCAGCAAUACCGCGUGGGUGAAGAAGGCCUUCGGGUUGUAAAGCCCUUUUGUUGGGAAAGAAAAGCAGCAGGUUAAUACCCCGCUGUUCUGACGGUACCCAAAGAAUAAGCACCGGCUAACUUCGUG
Molecule: ribosomal RNA, 492 nt
Filed under: uncultured bacterium
Lineage: Bacteria
Description: partial 16S ribosomal RNA
Rfam family: Bacterial small subunit ribosomal RNA
Source: RNAcentral